This 307-nucleotide ribosomal RNA is filed under the name uncultured bacterium. RNAcentral describes it as "bacterial SSU rRNA". It matches the Rfam family "Bacterial small subunit ribosomal RNA", at positions 29 to 334 of the family's 1533-position model. The record is from RNAcentral.
AGCGAACGUUUGCGGCGGGCCUAACACAUGCAAGUCGAACGAGAAGCCCUUCGGGGUGGACAGUGGCGCACGGGUGCGUAACACGUGGGUAAUCAACCUUUUAGUCUGGGACAACCAGAGGAAACUCUGGCUAAUACCGGAUGUUGCUGACGGAACCCCGGUUCUGUCAGCCAAAGACCCGCAAGGGUUGCUAGAAGACGAGCCCGCGGCCCAUCAGUUAGUUGGUGAGGUAAUGGCUCACCAAGGCUAAGACGGGUAGCUGGUCUGAGAGGAUGAUCAGCCACACUGGAACUGAGACACGGUCCAG